This is a long non-coding RNA of Raphanus sativus (radish), 1830 nucleotides long. RefSeq lists it as uncharacterized. Lineage: Eukaryota; Viridiplantae; Streptophyta; Magnoliopsida; Brassicales; Brassicaceae. The transcript has 6 exons. The record is from RefSeq and is a predicted model, not a curated record.
GCGGCUGACACGUGUCCGUGUUAAUGAAACGCAGCGAUUCAUUAUUUAGGCUACCGUCUGGGCUUUGAGUAAUACUAUUGGGCUUAACAGGCUGACACAUGUCUUUGUAUACUAAACUCUGCGUUUCGGUUUAAAAGGAACUAAGAAACUAAGCGUCAUGUUUUGUCGUUUCAUUUUCUUCAUUCAUUAACUCUAUGAAAAUUCUUAACUCCAUCAACUCAAAUCAAGCGCAAUGAAUUCAAUGAUCCUUUAUCUCUUCAAGACUGUGUUUCUCAAUCUAUAAAAAGGUAUUUGCAUACCUAGAACAUCAUUCCUCAGUUCAUGAAAAUCCAAAAUAAACACAAUAUUUGAUGGCCGCCGCUGAUCUUUUAUUGUCGAGGUGUUUUUCUCAUGUGAAAAUCAAACGGUGGCACGUUGAUGGGAGUGGAGAUGCUCCUCCUUGAUUCGAAGUAGAGCCACCGUAAGGGUUCACCGUCUCGCCGCUCAAGGCUGGUUCAAUGUUCACACUCUAGCUCCUUGAUUCAAAUGCUACAGAGUUCAAAGAUGAUCUAUAAAGUUGAUGAACCAAAACGAGCCCACCAAAUUAUCAGAAGCGGUAGAUGAAAGAGAGGGAGAGGAGGAGAAGAAAUAAGAACUUGGUCUCGCGUACCAGGAUCGGCCGGGGGACAGAGGUUUGACGAAAGAUGGUGAUGGGGAGUUUAAAAUAAGAUGAUGUUCGUUAGUGAUUCUUUGAACCCGAAGAAUGUAUUUCUCUUUCUAUGCUUAGAUUCCAAAUCCCAGAAAGUUCAAAAUCCAAAGACAUGUUUGAUUUCUUCACCCUCUUCUCUCUCAAGGAUUACAAUGCAGCCAUUCUGUUCUAUUAUGCACCGGUUCUUCCACAAUAUAAUUGAGAUAAUGAUACUGUUCACUGGCCAGUUGUUGACAUAGUUUUGUUCAACACAUAUUUUGGUGGAUUAUAUACUAGACUUUUUAAAAAGUAGUGAAUACAAUCACUUGGAGAGGAAUCGGAUCUAACUAUCUUUGCUUCCUUAUCUUGAAUUCCAUCUAAGGUGGAUAUGAACCUUCGUGGCCUGGCUUAAUUGUAAACUUUUGGUUGCUUCUGAAACAAUGACUCGAGCUUUCUUCAACUUCCUCUAAAAGUUUAUAUGUUGCUUGGAGUAUAUUUUUAUUAUUACUUUUGUGAUAUGACUAAUGAUGGUGAUGACUGGCAAGUUCUUUAGAAGGGAUGUAAAAUAUUUUCACAGCUAAUUUCAAAAUCUCUUCUUAGCAAAAAAAAAAUAAGUCUUUUCCAAUCAUGAGUUACAAAGAUUUUUAAAACUAUUGUUACAUGGGAUCUAGAAAGCAAAAUACUACAUCACUUAUAUAUUGGCUUCAGAAAAUUUACAGUCAGAAUACUUUUUUUCUUCCAAAACUAAAACCAAGAUUGCAGGAAAAAAAUGUAUAGCUUAGAAAAGACGUUACCAACUCAAAUAACAAAACCUAAAACAAUAAAUAAGGCAUGGUGAUAUAUUGGCAUUUGGUAACUAUAUACAAACCACAUCAAAUAUAAAUACCAUAUAAUUAAGACAAAAAGAAGUAUACACAUAUACAUGUAGAGUUAACGAAUAUAGAUUUGAAAUUGAAAAAAAAUUGUGAAAAUAUUAAUAAAUAGCAAACUAAUCAUUUUAAAACACUCAAUAAAAUUAAUAAUAUAUUAUGUAAUUUUUCAGUUACUAACUUGCCCGUAGAGCGGGCCAAACCCUAGACUAAUGUAUAAUUAAAACAUAAGUUAUUCAACAAAAAAAAAAAUUGAAACCUUUUAACAAGAAAAAAAAUAUGUUAAAAAUCAUA